Molecule: ribosomal RNA, 225 nt
Filed under: uncultured bacterium
Lineage: Bacteria
Description: partial 16S ribosomal RNA
Rfam family: Bacterial small subunit ribosomal RNA
Source: RNAcentral
UACGAAGGUGGCAAGCGUUGUUCGGAUUCACUGGGCGUACAGGGAGCGUAGGCGGUUGGGUAAGCCCUCCGUGAAAUCUCCGGGCCUAACCCGGAAAGGGCGGAGGGGACUGCUCAGCUAGAGGAUGGGAGAGGAGCGCGGAAUUCCCGGUGUAGCGGUGAAAUGCGUAGAGAUCGGGAGGAAGGCCGGUGGCGAAGGCGGCGCUCUGGAACAUUUCUGACGCUC